CAGCCUAUAGUGUAGCUGGUUAACACACGAGUCUGUGGCACUCGAGACGCAGGGUUCAAAUCCCUCUGGGCUGA
Molecule: transfer RNA, 74 nt
Filed under: Candidatus Latescibacterota bacterium
Lineage: Bacteria; Pseudomonadati; Candidatus Latescibacterota
Description: tRNA-His
Rfam family: tRNA
About the family: Transfer RNA (tRNA) molecules are approximately 80 nucleotides in length.
Source: RNAcentral